This 400-nucleotide ribosomal RNA is filed under the name uncultured bacterium. RNAcentral's name for it is "bacterial SSU rRNA". It matches the Rfam family "Bacterial small subunit ribosomal RNA", at positions 357 to 774 of the family's 1533-position model. The record is from RNAcentral.
GGGAAUUUUGCGCAAUGGGGGAAACCCUGACGCAGCAACGCCGCGUGGAGGAUGAAAUAUCUUGGUAUGUAAACUCCUUUUGAUGGGGAAGAUAAUGACGGUACCCAUAGAAGAAGCCCCGGCUAACUUCGUGCCAGCAGCCGCGGUAAUACGAGGGGGGCAAGCGUUGUUCGGAAUUAUUGGGCGUAAAGGGUGCGUAGGCGGUUUGACAAGUCAACUGUGAAAUCUCUGGGCUAAACCAAGAGUCUGCAGGCGAGACUGUCGGGCUUGAGUAUUGGAGAGGUGAGUGGAAUUUCUGGUGUAGCGGUGAAAUGCGUAGAUAUCGGAAGGAACACCUGUGGCGAAAGCGGCUCACUGGACAAUAACUGACGCUGAUGCACGAAAGCUAGGGGAGCAAACA